UGCUGUAAAAAAACAUGGUGAGAAGAAACCAGAUACAUGAGCACAAGCCGGUGGGUGACAAUGUCCGAGCCGCGCUCCCUCCCGCAGGCACAGUCCUUCCGGGGUCUGAGCCCGGGGGGACAGGGCUCUGGUCCCACUCGCGCCUGGCGAUCCCUGCAGAUGGUGAGGAGGCCGCAGGGCCAGGGUCUGGCCCCGGCUCUGCCUCUUACUACUGCUUUUGGCCAAAGUUCUGUUUUAGAAAAGUUUAAGGUUUACAGAAAAGUUGUGUUCCUGUACUCCUCAUAUCCAUUUCCAGAGCUAACGUGUCCCCCCGAGGAGUCGGCUGGCUCAUGUCCCCUGUAUGUGGGUUUCCUUGGUUUGUGCUAACGUCCGCUCACUGCCCCAGGUCCCACCCAGGAGGCCACGUCACAGUCACCGUCUCCCUGGCCUCGCCGGCUCCUCCCUCUCCAGCUGGAGUUCUGUCGGGCAUCCUGUUUGAUGCUGUUUGAUGCGUCCUCACGAUUAGACUGAGGUUACGAGUUCCGGGAGGAAGACUCCCGAGGUGAAAGGCUACCAAUGUGACUCGUCAACACGGCAGACGCCGACCGACCACCCAGCCGAGGGCGAGUCUGUGGGGCUUCUCCACUGUGGCCUCCCUGUUGGAAGGAACGCACUUGGCCCAGCCCCCACUGCAGGGGGACGGGGUCCCCUCCUUAAAGGGGCAUCUGCACACACUGCUGAAAUCCUUCUGUGUGACAGACACGCAAGACAGCUCAUUCCAGCUGGAAUGAUUAACGAAACAGGAAGGAGGGAGACCCACUAAUGACCGCACAUUCCCAGGCGGAAGGACUUUCAUAGCAGUGACUCAUCUCCCUGGCUGCCACUCGCUACCGGAGAAUGAAAUGUCUGCAAGCAUCUUCAUACCAAUUUUGCUUUGAAAUUGUAAAGCUUGCGUGCAACAUAAAACAUUUUAAAAGGAAUGUCUCAGAAAGCGUUCUCCACACAGAACUUGUGAGUUAUGAAAGCGAAGCUGCCCUGCUUUAAACCCUGGCGUUACUAACAAGGGGUAUGAAAGUUAGAAAAAGCUGCACUGAAGAGGUGCUCAUCUCUCAAAUGGGGUCUGUCCUCCUCAUGCCAGCUGCCAACCACGGGCGACUCCUACCUCUACCCGGGCUGCUCCACUGGUGGGGGGGCGGGGGGGAGGCUGUGCCCCUCAGGGGACUUGGGAAACGUCUGAUGCUCUGAAUCUAAUUCCUUGUAUUUACAAUCCUGACAGCAUGGCUUCCACUUGGCCUGUGGAGAGGCCCACAAGCUGCACCAGAGAAAAUUGAGCAGGUCAGCUACUAGCUCAGCGGCUAGACUCCAUGGUUUUAAGUUUACAUUUUACCCAUUCUGACUUCCAGUCUCCAAAUGAUUUCCUUACAUAUACAGGGUGUCCCCCCCCCCCCCCCACACACACAAAAUGUAUAGACACUUGGAAUAAUGAUUAAUUCCAAUGGGUUAAAUCGGAAAAGGAAGAACCAUGGAAUUAAUCAUUAUUCCAAGUGUAAGCAUUUUUCAGGGACACCCUGUGGUAGCCUUUCUCAUAAAUAAGGCUGAACCCCACUUCCCCUAUGGGGCGGUUUAUCGGCCAGUGUUUCCUUGGCCAGGAUAGAUUCUUUGCAGCUUAGUUAACUAUUUCCUUGGCACUUAAAGAGGACUAUUCUUUGAAACAACUCAUAGUGCAUGGGGUAUGGACAACCCAAUGUUUCCUUACAAAUAAUGCCCAUAUGCAAAGGGGACAUCUGUUACACGUUCAACAAUAAAGAUAAAUUUUUAAAAUU
Long non-coding RNA from Myotis myotis, 1802 nucleotides. RefSeq lists it as uncharacterized. The record is from RefSeq and is a predicted model, not a curated record. The transcript is spliced from 2 exons. Lineage: Eukaryota; Metazoa; Chordata; Mammalia; Chiroptera; Vespertilionidae.